CCCGCGAGUGGCGAACGGGUGAGUAAUAUAUUGGAACGUACCGAGUAAUGGGGGAUAACCAAUCGAAAGAUCGGCUAAUACCGCAUAUGCUCUGAGGAGGAAAGCAGGGGACCUUCGGGCCUUGCGUUAUUCGAGCGGCCAAUAUCUGAUUAGCUAGUUGGUGGGGUAAAGGCCUACCAAGGCGACGAUCAGUAGCGGGUCUGAGAGGAUGAUCCGCCACACUGGGACUGAGACACGGCCCAGACUCCUACGGGAGGCAGCAGUGGGGAAUUUUGGACAAUGGGCGCAAGCCUGAUCCAGCCAUGCCGCGUGUCUGAAGAAGGCCUUCGGGUUGUAAAGGACUUUUGUUAGGGAAGAAAAAGGAGCGGUUAAUACCCGUUUCUGCUGAC
This 389-nucleotide ribosomal RNA is filed under the name Neisseria elongata. Its description in RNAcentral is "bacterial SSU rRNA". It matches the Rfam family "Bacterial small subunit ribosomal RNA", at positions 88 to 473 of the family's 1533-position model. Lineage: Bacteria; Pseudomonadati; Pseudomonadota; Betaproteobacteria; Neisseriales; Neisseriaceae. The record is from RNAcentral.